GAUGAACGCUGGCGGCGUGCCUAAUACAUGCAAGUCGAGCGAACAGACGAGGAGCUUGCUCCUCUGACGUUAGCGGCGGACGGGUGAGUAACACGUGGAUAACCUACCUAUAAGACUGGGAUAACUUCGGGAAACCGGAGCUAAUACCGGAUAAUAUAUUGAACCGCAUGGUUCAAUAGUGAAAGACGGUUUUGCUGUCACUUAUAGAUGGAUCCGCGCCGCAUUAGCUAGUUGGUAAGGUAACGGCUUACCAAGGCAACGAUGCGUAGCCGACCUGAGAGGGUGAUCGGGCAAACUGGAACUGAGACAAGGGCCAGACUCCUACGGGAGGCAGCAGGAGGGAAUCUUCCGGAAUGGGCGAAAGCUUGACGGGGCAAAGGCGGGGGAGUGAUGAAGGUCUUCGGAUCGUAAAACUCUGUUAUUAGGGAAGAACAAAUGUGUAAGUAACUAUGCACGUCUUGACGGUACCUAAUCAGAAAGCCACGGCUAACUACGUG
RNAcentral lists this ribosomal RNA (497 nucleotides) under uncultured bacterium. RNAcentral's name for it is "partial 16S ribosomal RNA". It matches the Rfam family "Bacterial small subunit ribosomal RNA", at positions 28 to 507 of the family's 1533-position model. The record is from RNAcentral.